Molecule: small nucleolar RNA, 108 nt
Filed under: Echinops telfairi (small Madagascar hedgehog)
Lineage: Eukaryota; Metazoa; Chordata; Mammalia; Afrosoricida; Tenrecidae
Description: Small nucleolar RNA SNORA61 (ENSETEG00000025883.1)
Source: RNAcentral
ACCUUCCAAUUCCCUUCCUCAUCACUGGUAUGAGUGGUUGAAAAAGAAGAAAAGUAACUGAAACUGACUUCAAUUCUUUUAUAGCACAUGGGCUAGUUUCAAAAGGGU